RNAcentral lists this unclassified non-coding RNA (4196 nucleotides) under Portunus trituberculatus (swimming crab). Its description in RNAcentral is "leukocyte elastase inhibitor-like, transcript variant X6". The record is from RNAcentral. Lineage: Eukaryota; Metazoa; Arthropoda; Malacostraca; Decapoda; Portunidae.
UGUGCUGGAUGGCAGGCAACCGAAGUGAUUAUGGUUUUAUUGUGCCUGUUUAAUCUGUCAUGGCACUCGUUAGGAAGUGUUGCAAAUAUCAGUUGAUUAUUGGACGUCAACCACACAGUAUAACAACAGCUGCAUUGGAGUGGAAUUACAGGAUCUCUCUGGUGGUACUUCUGAGUGCAGCAGUCAUGAGUCGUGGAGCAUCAGGAAGUCAGCGGUCUGGGGGUCCAUCAUUUCCUCCUUAUGUACACCAUGAAGCAGUUACCUCCCUUGCUGCCAGCCAAAAUAGAUUUACAUGUGAUCUGUAUACUAAAUUAGCAGAGAAGAAGUCAGGCAACCUCUUUUACUCUCCCUUCAGUGUCAUGACAGCUUUAGGAAUGACAUAUGCUGGAGCUGGAGGAAAUACUGAACAAGAAAUGCGUUCCACUAUGCACCUGAGUGAUGACAAAGAACUUAUUCAUGAUGCAUUUCUGGAUGUUGUGUCUGAUAUGAAGAUUGAUGCUGGAGAUUAUGAACUUCGCACAUCAAACAUGGCCUAUAUGUCAAACAAGCUAUCAUUACUGAGCCAGUAUGAUAAAAUCCUGAAAGAAAAGUACCAAAGCACUGCAAAAACUGUUGACUUUGGUGCAAGUGAGGAUGUCAGGCAGGAGAUCAAUGCAGCAGUUGAGAAAGAGACCAACUCCCGCAUUAAGGACCUCAUUCCUUCAGGUGUUCUAGAUUCCUUGACAAGGAUGGUGCUUGUGAAUGCUGUUUACUUCAAGGGGUUAUGGGCUAAGCAGUUUGAUGAAGCAGAUACUCAUGACCAAGAGUUCUGGACCUCAAACACUGAGAGUGUCAAGGUGCCCAUGAUGUACAAGAAAUCUAAGUUUCGCCUAUUCUUUGAUAGAGAUCUUGAAGCCACUGUCUUGGCCAUGGACUACCAGGGUUCCAGAUUGAGCAUGGUAUUUGUGUUACCUGAUAAGCGAGAUGGUUUAGCAGAAGUUGAAGGCAAAUUAGCCAAGACAGAUCUGAGUGAACUUCACAGGAAACUGCGUGAAGUUGAAGUUGAGGUGACUCUUCCUAGAUUCAAGUUAGAAGAAACUCUUGAUCUGGUUGACACUUUGAAAGAGAUGGGAAUGAAGGAUCUUUUCAACGAGGCAUCAGCUGACCUGUCUGGGAUCUCAGGCAACAAGGACCUGUUUGUCUCCAAUGUGAUUCAUAAAGCUUUCCUGGAAGUAAAUGAGAAAGGCAGUGAAGCUGCUGCAGCAACAGGUAUGGUGGCACAAGUCAGAAUGCUUAUACGUCCCAUUCCUCCAUUUAUUGCUGACCAUCCAUUUAUGUUCUUCAUCCAUGAUCAACGUUCUGGUUUGGUGCUCUUUGCUGGAAGACUUGUUGAACUGUAAUAUGACUGCAUUGUAUAUUGAUGUGGAGCAGUGUAACCAAAUUUUAUGGAAGCUUUAUUUAUUUAAGUUAAGAUUCCAUCAUUGUACUGUAUAUAGGGAUCUGGGAUAUUUUUCAAAAUAAUGUUGAUAAUGCUAUUGAAAAUAAUAGGACAAUAUGACAAUAUGUAAGUUCUACUUUCAUCAUGCUGCUUUGGUGAUAAUUCAGUUUUCCUAAACUGAGUGGCACUAGAAUAGUAACCAAAAACAUUAUAAUAAUAAUUGCAGUGAGCUAAUAUAAUCAUACAUAUUUUAAAGCUUAUGGCAGUAAAAUGCCAAUUAAUAAUUUUUGACAGCAUGUUGUUUUGUACAGCAUUCAAGAAUGUCUUAGUUAGUGAAACAAUUGUAGUACCAGCACAUUCAACACUAUUUUUACACUCAAGCAGGCAGCUUAAUCCUCCUUCCCGGUGAAGUUCCUCAUCAUAAAGGUGAAUCAAAAGAGACCAUUGUUUGGUUACCUCUGGUAGGCUACAAAGUAAAUAUAACUCAAAGUGAUACAGUCAUUAGUGUGGAAUCUUUUUUGGCGGUCAUCAAGAGGUAGUUUUUUUGGCUAGGAAUUGUUCUGGGAUGCUUACCUACAUACUUAGCCAUCUUCAGUUGUCAGACUUGAUAUGUCAAGAGAUGUGAUUAGCUGGACCACUCUCUUUAAAAUGUGGUGUUUAGAGUAAUUGUUUAGUCAUUUUUGCCACUUACUCUAUGGCAGGUGGCAUGUAUCUUAUUCAGUAUUGAUAUCAUAAACAGCUUGAGGUAUGAUGAUAUGAACUCAGCUGUAUAUAAGGCCUCAAAAUGUUUUGUACAAUGUUAAUUUAGUAAUUUGAGGUAUGUGUGAUGAUUUGAAACCUGCAGUAUGUGAUGCCUCAGUUUUGGACAAGUUUUAGUGCAGCUGAUCUAGUUUCAGUAGUAAAUAAUGUGACUGAGCUUUAUUUAGUGAAUAUAUCAGAGCUAGUCGCUUCUGAAAAGUGGAAAAUCUGCAAUUGCAAAAUGUGAUCUUGCUAGUGGAUCUAUAUUUGCAAUGAAUAAUUAGGCAAAUUUAUGAUUGUAUUUGUGGAAACUGGAAAUUGCAUGCAGAAUUCCAUAUAUAUAUAUAUAUAUAUAUAUAUAUAUAUAUAUAUAUAUAUAUAUAUAUAUAUAUAUAUAUAUAUAUAUAUUUAAUAUGAAUUUAUUUAUAUAUACUAUGUGACAUUUUCCUUAAAAAGAAUAGCUAAGACAAGUUAUUAACACAAUGUCUUAUCAUAUUUUAGGAAUAAAAAAUGCAGAGCAGGAUAAUCCUCAGCCCAAUCUUCAUCUUAUUUUGCGUCUUUAACAAAAGAAUUGGGAGCAUGAUAGCAAUAUAUUAGCAAUUCCAGUGCAGAGUGUGCAGCUAGGCUGUGUUUCCCAAUGAUAUGAUAGUAUUAUGAUGACAGUUCAAAAUAACCACUUCACUAUGAAUCAUUGGUACUUAUAAUCAUAUAUCCCAUUUUCAUAACUUCACAGAUUGUCUAUUUUUCUUAAGAUUUAACUGAAAUAGGUGAUUGAUUAGGCCAGAGGUUCUCAAACCUUAUUUCAUAGUGGCGCUUUUAUGAUAUAUCUUGGAUCAUGACUGCACACCAACACUGCAGUCAGUGUAUCCCUACAAACGUUUAGGUUUAGAGAUUCAGAUCUUACUCACCCUGGAAUCUUGUCAGUUAACCCUCUUUUUGAAGUGGUUUUGUAGAUUUAAAUUGAUAGUAAACACCUAUCACCACUUUAUCAUUAUUUUGCUGGAAUGUAUUGUUAACAAGCGCUGGGCUUGCCUUAGGAAGUGCACUUUGCUUAAGGCUUAUCGGUAAGGAAUAUGUUAGGUCUGAUGAAAUUCUGUGCUUAUCUUCAUGCUUUUUCUUUAUUAAGAGUUGCUGAUUGCAUUGCACUCUAUGCCAUUCUAUCCUCCUGUUGAUUUGUAUUUCAUGAUCUGGGUUUGCACUAUUUAUUUUCCUUAAAUACUGUAUAUCUGUGAACACAUUCUGACUUCUUUGAUUUUAUUUAUGUAUUUAUUUAUUUAUUUAUUAUUAUUAUUAUUAUUUAUUUAUUUAUUUUUUUUUUUUUUUUCUUGGUGUAGAAUCAUUAACACUAACUUCCUUGAUAUUCAUCUUCAACCUUAUUUUUUCUCUCUGUAUAACUGUAAAAUCUCUUGAAGCACAUCUAUGUAUUUGCUUAACAGUUCAGUCAUGAUGUCAUCUCUAAAAUAAAGGUAACAUUAUAAUUUCAGUCUACAUCUUGUAUAAUCUCUUAAAUUUAUAUUUGGCGUAGUACACCAAAUUUUAUGUAAUUCACAGAAAAAAAACUAUCAUUGAUUGAAUCACAAGGCAGGGUCAUGAGUCAAGUAAUGGCAUUGGGGCCUUGGACAAAGUAGAAUAUAAGGAAGUCAGCAUUGAUAAACUCAUCUGGUUGGCUACCACAUGUGUUUGGAAAUAAUUUCUUGGCUAAAAUCUGUUAUGUAUAAGAUCCUUAUCGUAAUGCUUAAAACAUAUUGAUAAGAUAUUAGUGCAGAGUGAACAUGACUGUUGGCAAGAUAGAUGGGAUGAUACAUUGUGGUUGGUAAUUCCUUAAUGCAGUCAUAUACACACCACUUUCCUGAGCUUAAUUCAAGAAAUGACCAUGAGUAGCUUGGUCACAAUGCCAUGUAAUCAUUAGACUCAUACAUAUCCUGCCACAUGAUACAUUAUGAGUUGAUCACACAAAGUAAGGAGAAGCUUUUGAGUUAUGUAAACAGUUACCUUACCUCUUUGGAUCUUCUGGAAAGCAAAUAAAGGACUAAGUCUUUUC